AAGAAUUUAGUUAAAGUUAUAACAUUAGUUUGUCAUACUAAAAUUAUUUAAAAUUAAAGAUAUUUCUUA
This 69-nucleotide transfer RNA is filed under the name Staphylinidae sp. BMNH 1274657. Its description in RNAcentral is "tRNA-Asp". Lineage: Eukaryota; Metazoa; Arthropoda; Insecta; Coleoptera; Staphylinidae. The record is from RNAcentral.